GUCUACGGCCAUACCAUGCUGAACGUGCCCGAUCUCGUCUGAUCUCGGAAGCUAAGCAGGGUCGGGCCUGCUUAGUACUUGGAUGGGAGACAAAUUACCUUUCCUGUCAUUU
This is a ribosomal RNA of Gorilla gorilla gorilla (western lowland gorilla), 112 nucleotides long. The record is from Rfam. NCBI's taxonomy places the organism in Eukaryota, Metazoa, Chordata, Mammalia, Primates, Hominidae.